GGGGAUGUGGUGGAGUUGGUUUACCACGCCGGCCUGUCACGCCGGAGGUCGCGAGUUCGAGUCUCGUCAUCCUCG
RNAcentral lists this transfer RNA (75 nucleotides) under Orenia marismortui. It matches the Rfam family "tRNA". From Rfam's summary of the family: Transfer RNA (tRNA) molecules are approximately 80 nucleotides in length. Their secondary structure includes four short double-helical elements and three loops (D, anti-codon, and T loops). Lineage: Bacteria; Bacillati; Bacillota; Clostridia; Halanaerobiales; Halobacteroidaceae. The record is from Rfam by way of RNAcentral.